AGUGAACGCUGGCGGUAGGCCUAACACAUGCAAGUCGAACGGCAGCACAGUAAGAGCUUGCUCUUACGGGUGGCGAGUGGCGUACGGGUGAGGAAUACAUCGGAAUCUACUUUUUCGUGGGGGAUAACGUAGGGAAACUUACGCUAAUACCGCAUACGACCUACGGGUGAAAGCAGGGGAUCUUCGGACCUUGCGCGAUUGAAUGAGCCGAUGUCGGAUUAGCUAGUUGGCGGGGUAAAGGCCCACCAAGGCGACGAUCCGUAGCUGGUCUGAGAGGAGGGUCGGCGACAUUGGAACUGAGACACGGUCAAGAGUCCUAAGGGAGGCCGCAGUGGGGAAUGUUAGACAAUGGGCGGAAGCCUGAUCCAGCCAUACCGCGUGGGUUAAGAAGGCCUUCGGGUUGUAAAGCCCUUUUGUUGGGAAAGAAAAGCAGCAGGUUAAUACCCCGCUGUUCUGACGGUAACCAAAGAAUAAGCACCGGCUAACUUCGUG
This 492-nucleotide ribosomal RNA is filed under the name uncultured bacterium. RNAcentral describes it as "partial 16S ribosomal RNA". It matches the Rfam family "Bacterial small subunit ribosomal RNA", at positions 29 to 507 of the family's 1533-position model. The record is from RNAcentral.